UGUUUAUGGUUUUAUAAGAAUGUUCUAAUGAAAUAAAAGUGGAAUUUAAUCMUUUAUAUUUCUGACUGGUUUUCCUGCAGCUGGUUGGACCUGGAACCUGAGGAGCCUGGUCCAGAGAGAGGGAGCGGUGCUGCAGACAGUGGGACUGUCCACAGAUGUCCGUCCAGUCGUUCAUGUCUUGGACACCAGACGUUAACACUUCGUGUUCGGAUCAUCUCGGCUCGGUUCUGAGGACCAGACAUAAGGUUCAACUGACCGGAGACAACAGUAUGGUUUCACCAGCAGARCAUCUCAACAAAAAGAGGUUUGUUUGUUUGUUUGUUUGCUCACGGUCCGACCCGCUCCACAGACGGUUCUGAUGUGACGGAACCAAGAACUCGUGUGAGUCCCAGUUUAUUUUAUCUGAAGUUCAGUUAUCAGGAUAAAAACUGAUCUGGUUAACUCCCUGACACUCAGCGAACACAGGUGUCCAAAAUCCUGCAUCAGUAUUCUGAGGUGGUUCUCUGAGAGGGUUGUGAAGAACAAGUAUCUUACCUGUUGUAGAUCGGAUCAGGUUUCAGCUGUUUACCUGCUUUAACACACCUGAGUUGAGUAAAUGAAACCUCAGAAUGUCAUCAAAUGUAGACGUCUGUCGUUUACUUCAGGUGUGUUGAAGCAGGUARCAGCUGAAGGUCCUGCUUUUAGUUUUAACGUGAUAAUAAAAUAAAGAAUAAAGAACUAAAAGGUUUAAAUGUGAGAUGAUAAAUCAGAAGAAAAUGAGGUGAAAAAAAAGAAAAAGAAAAAUACAAAUCAUUCAUAUUUUAUUAAACUCUUACAAUCCAUUUGAAUAAAUGAUCGUUUAAUUUAACAGGAAAUGUGCUAAAAAAAUAAAAGAAAUAAUAUCUGCUUGUUACAUGUUUUAGGUCUCAAAUUUAAAUAAAAUCAAACAUCCUGAACCCCACGUUGAAUGAAACAGAAAAUUCAAUUAAAUAAAUAACAAAAAGAUAGAUCUGGAGCUAACUCCAACGUUUUCCAGCUUUACGUCGGUUCGCUGGCUGCUUUUAUUUAUUUAUUUAUUUAUUUAUUUAUUUCAAACACAAACUGAUGAAAGCUGGAGGGAAUCUUUCUGAUUUCAGUCUUAUUUAGCUCCAGGUGGAGCAAAAACAAAAUCAGCCGAGGAGGGAAGGAGCAGAAACAUGGUCGCAGACGAAACGCUGAGUCGGCGAGAAUUUGAGUGAUAAAAAUAAAAACAUUUCCUUCAGGAAAACAAACUUAGUUUUAAAACAGCAGCACAAAUCAGACACGCCUCAGAUUAAUUUCAUGUUAAAUCUGGUGGAUUAGAUUAAAUCCCUGCAGGGAAUGCCCAUCACCCAACAGUUUCAGUUACAGUUAGUGAUGUGWUGGAGGUCACCCUCAGCUACUACCACAACAAACUUCAGCUCAUUAUCUGACUGAGUUGUCGUCUUUUUCCUGUUUGCUAAGAUCAAUCAGCUGCGGCGGCCAUUUUUAAUCAGGCCAGCAGCUGCAGAAGCUCAUCCAACAGUAACUCAGAGGAUCAGAACUAGAGUCACGGCUGAAGUUCAGCCCAGAUUCAUCCAAACAUUUCUAAUAAAUAUUUAUUUGUCUGUUUGGUCGUUCCUCUAACUGCAGGUCACCUUAUUUAAACCAGAAAACAACCAAACAUCUACUGUUGUUCCUCAAACCGACCAGCAUCUUUAGUGUCAGAACCAGAACCGGCUGCAGGGACAAACGACUCAGGACCAGGAGGAGCUGSUCUGGGUUUCCCUCCUGGACCCGUCCACAGAAUCAGAACCACUCAGCUGCCACUCCACGUCUGUAAACUACUAAAAAAAUAACUAAAAGUAAAAUUACAUGAACAGAAAAUGACUUUGGUAAAAA
Molecule: long non-coding RNA, 1878 nt
Organism: Austrofundulus limnaeus
Lineage: Eukaryota; Metazoa; Chordata; Actinopteri; Cyprinodontiformes; Rivulidae
Exons: 2
Source: RefSeq, a predicted model, not a curated record